CGGAGGGUGCGAGCGUUGUCCGGAAUCACUGGGCGUAAAGGGCGCGUAGGUGGCUUCUCAAGCGCGCGGUGAAAGCCCGGGGCUCAACCCCGGGUCGGCCGUGCGGACUGGGAGGCUCGAGCACUGUAGGGGCGGGUGGAAUUCCGGGUGUAGCGGUGGAAUGCGUAGAGAUCCGGAAGAACACCGGUGGCGAAGGCGGCCCGCUGGGCAGGAAGGCUCGCAAGAGCCGGCUGACACUGAGGCGCGACAGCGUGGGGAGCAAACAGGAUUAGAUACCCUGGUAGUCCACGCCGUAAACGAUGGGCACUAGGUGCCUGGGGGAGCGACCCCCCGGGUGCCGGCGCUAACGCAUUAAGUGCCCCGCCUGGGGAGUACGGCCGCAAGGCUG
Molecule: ribosomal RNA, 388 nt
Filed under: uncultured organism
Description: bacterial SSU rRNA
Rfam family: Bacterial small subunit ribosomal RNA
Source: RNAcentral